RNAcentral lists this ribosomal RNA (433 nucleotides) under uncultured bacterium. Its description in RNAcentral is "partial 16S ribosomal RNA". It matches the Rfam family "Bacterial small subunit ribosomal RNA", at positions 29 to 507 of the family's 1533-position model. The record is from RNAcentral.
AACGAACGCUGGCGGCAUGCCUAACACAUGCAAGUCGAACGAGACCUUCGGGUCUAGUGGCGCACGGGUGCGUAACGCGUGGGAACCUGCCCUUAGGUUCGGAAUAACUCCCCGAAAGGGGUGCUAAUACCGGAUAAUGUCUUCGGACCAAAGAUUUAUCGCCUUUGGAUGGGCCCGCGUUUGAUUAGCUAGUUGGUAGGGUAAAAGCCUACCAAGGCGACGAUCCAUAGCUGGUCUGAGAGGAUGAUCAGCCACACUGGGACUGAGACACGGCCCAGACUCCUACGGGAAGCAGCAGUGGGGAAUAUUGGACAAUGGGCGAAAGCCUGAUCCAGCAAUGCCGCGUGAGUGAUGAAGGCCUUAGGGUUGUAAAGCUCUUUUACCCGGGAUGAUAAUGACAGUACCGGGAGAAUAAGCUCCGGCUAACUCCGUG